Molecule: unclassified non-coding RNA, 194 nt
Filed under: uncultured Tylospora
Lineage: Eukaryota; Fungi; Basidiomycota; Agaricomycetes; Atheliales; Atheliaceae
Also listed under: 2 other names
Description: sequence contains ITS2
Source: RNAcentral
AAUCCUCAACCCCCUCCGAUUUGUUUCGGUGGGGAUUGGACUUGGAGCGUGCUGGCGAAGGUCGGCUCCUCUUUAAAUGCAUCAGCGGAGAAAAUGCCUUUUGCGCCUCUGGCCGUUCAGCGUGAUAAUGACGUUGCGCUGCGGUCGAGCUCAAGGUCCGCUUCCAAAGGUCCUCGGACGAACGUAAACAUGAC